Molecule: ribosomal RNA, 319 nt
Filed under: uncultured soil bacterium
Lineage: Bacteria
Description: bacterial SSU rRNA
Rfam family: Bacterial small subunit ribosomal RNA
Source: RNAcentral
AGGACGAACGCUGGCGGCGUGCCUAAUGCAUGCAAGUCGAGCGACGAAUAGGUGCGGGUAACCAAGCCUAUUACGGAGCGGCGAACGGGUGAGUAACACGUGAGCAACCUGCCCCGAAGACCGGGAUAGCCCAGGGAAACUUGGAUUAAUACCGGAUAUCCUCCUUUGAUCGCAUGGUCGUUGGAAGAAAUGCUUUUACGCUUCGGGGAUGGGCUCGCGGCCUAUCAGCUUGUUGGUGGGGUAACGGCCUACCAAGGCGUCGACGGGUAGCUGGUCUGAGAGGACGAUCAGCCACACUGGGACUGAGACACGGCCCAGA